GACGAACGCUGGCGGCGUGCCUAACACAUGCAAGUCGAGCGGAGUAGUAGUAAUACUAUUUAGCGGCGGACGGGUGAGUAACACGUGGGCAACCUGCCUUAUACAGGGGGAUAGCCAACCGAAAGGUUGAUUAAUACCGCAUAACACCAGAACAUCACAUGAUGAACUGGUCAAAGGAGAAAUCCGGUAUAAGAUGGGCCCGCGCCCCAUUAGCUAGUUGGUGAGGUAACGGCUCACCAAGGCGACGAUGGGUAGCCGAUCUGAGAGGAUGAACGGCCACAUUGGAACUGAGACACGGUCCAGACUCCUACGGGUGGCUG
Molecule: ribosomal RNA, 320 nt
Filed under: uncultured Bacillota bacterium
Lineage: Bacteria; Bacillati; Bacillota
Description: bacterial SSU rRNA
Rfam family: Bacterial small subunit ribosomal RNA
Source: RNAcentral